This is a regulatory RNA element of Oribacterium sp., 105 nucleotides long. It matches the Rfam family "S10-Clostridia ribosomal protein leader". Lineage: Bacteria; Bacillati; Bacillota; Clostridia; Lachnospirales; Lachnospiraceae. The record is from Rfam.
UGAUAGCGAUGAAGGAGAAGAUUACUAUAGAAGCGAAAACCGUAAGGCAUAAGUUUCUACAGAGAACUUUCCGGAGCGAAUGUCAAGUUUAGAAACUGACGGCAG